AAGACUUUAAGUUAAUUUAAAACUAUUAACCUUCAAAGUUAAAAAUACUUAUUAUUUUGUAAGUCUUA
This 68-nucleotide transfer RNA is filed under the name Singapora shinshana. RNAcentral's name for it is "tRNA-Trp". The record is from RNAcentral. Lineage: Eukaryota; Metazoa; Arthropoda; Insecta; Hemiptera; Cicadellidae.